UGUCUAUUCAUUUGCUUUUGUAAUAAAUUUGGUAAAUUCUAAAGAGACUUUACAGACACCCUGUUUUUUUGCAUGUUCAAAAAUAAUUCUGGA
Long non-coding RNA from Sphaeramia orbicularis (orbiculate cardinalfish), 93 nucleotides. RefSeq lists it as uncharacterized. The transcript has 3 exons. NCBI's taxonomy places the organism in Eukaryota, Metazoa, Chordata, Actinopteri, Kurtiformes, Apogonidae. The record is from RefSeq and is a predicted model, not a curated record.